UCUGAGGUCCGGUGUAGCCGGCAUCUCAGA
Oesophagostomum dentatum (nodular worm) is the source of this 30-nucleotide non-coding RNA. NCBI's taxonomy places the organism in Eukaryota, Metazoa, Nematoda, Chromadorea, Rhabditida, Strongylidae. The record is from Rfam.